RNAcentral lists this ribosomal RNA (426 nucleotides) under uncultured beta proteobacterium. Its description in RNAcentral is "bacterial SSU rRNA". It matches the Rfam family "Bacterial small subunit ribosomal RNA", at positions 356 to 774 of the family's 1533-position model. Lineage: Bacteria; Pseudomonadati; Pseudomonadota; Betaproteobacteria. The record is from RNAcentral.
GGGGAAUUUUGGACAAUGGGCGCAAGCCUGAUCCAGCAAUGCCGCGUGCAGGAAGAAGGCCUUCGGGUUGUAAACUGCUCUUGUACGGAACGAAACGGUCCUGGUUAAUACCUGGGGCUAAUGACGGUACCGUAAGAAUAAGCACCGGCUAACUACGUGCCAGCAGCCGCGGUAAUACGUAGGGUGCGAGCGUUAAUCGGAAUUACUGGGCGUAAAGCGUGCGCAGGCGGUUGUGUAAGACAGGUGUGAAAUCCCCGGGCUUAACCUGGGAACUGCGCUUGUGACUGCACGGCUAGAGUACGGCAGAGGGGGGUGGAAUUCCACGUGUAGCAGUGAAAUGCGUAGAGAUGUGGAGGAACACCGAUGGCGAAGGCAGCCCCCUGGGCCGAUACUGACGCUCAUGCACGAAAGCGUGGGUAGCAAACA